UAGGCAAGCGGCAGCUACACAUGCAAGUCGAGGGGUAUAAGGAGCUUGCUUCUUAGAGACCGGCGGAUGGGUGAGUAACGCGUAUGCAACCUACCUUUUACAGGGGAAUAGCCCGGAGAAAUUCGGAUUAAUGCUCCAUGGUUUAUAGAGAUGGCAUCAUUUUUAUAAUAAAGAUUUAUCGGUAAAAGAUGGGCAUGCGUAUCAUUAGCUAGUUGGUGUGGUAACGGCAUACCAAGGCUACGAUGAUUAGGGGUCCUGAGAGGGAGAUCCCCCACACUGGUACUGAGACACGGACCAGACUCCUACGGGAGGCAGCAGUGAGGAAUAUUGGUCAAUGGAGGCAACUCUGAACCAGCCAUGCCGCGUGCAGGAUGACGGUCCUAUGGAUUGUAAACUGCUUUUGUACGGGAAGAAAUGUAAUUACGUGUAAUUAUUUGACGGUACCGUAAGAAUAAGGAUCGGCUAACUCCGUGCCAGCAGCCGCGGUAAUACGGAGGAUCCGAGCGUUAUCCGGAAUUAUUGGGUUUAAAGGGUUCGUAGGCGGUUUAGUAAGUCAGUGGUGAAAUCUUACAGCUUAACUGUAAAAUUGCCGUUGAUACUGCUAGACUUGAAUAGUAUGGAAGUAAUUAGAAUAUGUAGUGUAGCGGUGAAAUGCUUAGAUAUUACAUGGAAUACCAAUUGCGAAGGCAGAUUACUACGUACUUAUUGACGCUGAUGAACGAAAGCGUGGGUAGCGAACAGGAUUAGAUACCCUGGUAGUCCACGCCGUAAACGAUGGAUACUAGCUGUUCGGUUUUCAGACUGAGUGGCUAGCGAAAGUGAUAAGUAUCCCACCUGG
This 838-nucleotide ribosomal RNA is filed under the name Flavobacterium sp. KGF1. RNAcentral's name for it is "bacterial SSU rRNA". It matches the Rfam family "Bacterial small subunit ribosomal RNA", at positions 32 to 876 of the family's 1533-position model. The record is from RNAcentral. Lineage: Bacteria; Pseudomonadati; Bacteroidota; Flavobacteriia; Flavobacteriales; Flavobacteriaceae.